This 74-nucleotide transfer RNA is filed under the name bacterium. Its description in RNAcentral is "tRNA-Asp". It matches the Rfam family "tRNA". Rfam says of the family: Transfer RNA (tRNA) molecules are approximately 80 nucleotides in length. The record is from RNAcentral.
GGUCCGUUAGCUCAGUUGGUUAGAGCGCUACCCUGUCACGGUAGAGGCCGUGGGUUCAAGUCCCAUACGGAUCG